Molecule: long non-coding RNA, 318 nt
Organism: Engraulis encrasicolus (European anchovy)
Lineage: Eukaryota; Metazoa; Chordata; Actinopteri; Clupeiformes; Engraulidae
Exons: 4
Source: RefSeq, a predicted model, not a curated record
CUUACUGUGCUCUCUUCUAGUUGACUCAGUUACUCACCCACUGACGUUAAGUCCAUUCUUAGAGCUUGUGACGAGGGAAAAAGGAAGAUAUUUAAAAACAAGACCUAAAACAACACUGAGGAUUUUUUUCCGCCAGGGCUCAAAUCUUGUUGUCUGGUGUUCUGAUCUACUGAGUGCCAUGAGGCUUUGGUCCAUCAGGUGUGACCAGGGACCCAUGGCGGUGUGAAGCGAGGCUUAGCAGAGGCCAGAAGACAAGAGCAUCCACAGUGUUCCAGUGUGGCAGAGACUGACAUAGAGCGCAAGAGGUAUGGACAUGCA